UAGGUAGCUUAACCGUAAGGAGGGCGCUUACCACGGUAGGAUUCGUGACUGGGGUGAAGUCGUAACAAGGUAGCCGUAUCGGAAGGUGCGGCUGGAUCACCUCCUUUCUAGA
This 112-nucleotide ribosomal RNA is filed under the name Janthinobacterium sp. BJB312. RNAcentral's name for it is "partial 16S ribosomal RNA". It matches the Rfam family "Bacterial small subunit ribosomal RNA", at positions 1427 to 1533 of the family's 1533-position model. The record is from RNAcentral. RNAcentral also lists the same sequence under 3 other names. Lineage: Bacteria; Pseudomonadati; Pseudomonadota; Betaproteobacteria; Burkholderiales; Oxalobacteraceae.